CGACGGCAGCACGGGUGCUUGCACCUGGUGGCGAGUGGCGAACGGGUGAGUAAUGCGUCGGAACGUACCGAGUAAUGGGGGAUAACGCAGCGAAAGUUGUGCUAAUACCGCAUACGCCCUGAGGGGGAAAGUGGGGGACCGCAAGGCCUCACGUUAUUCGAGCGGCCGACGUCUGAUUAGCUAGUUGGUGGGGUAAAGGCCUACCAAGGCGACGAUCAGUAGCGGGUCUGAGAGGAUGAUCCGCCACACUGGGACUGAGACACGGCCCAGACUCCUACGGGAGGCAGCAGUGGGGAAUUUUGGACAAUGGGGGCAACCCUGAUCCAGCCAUUCCGCGUGAGUGAAGAAGGCCUUCGGGUUGUAAAGCUCUUUCAGCUGGAACGAAACGGUACGCGCUAACAUCGUGUGCUAAUGACGGUACCGGCAGAAGAAGCACCGGCUAACUACGUGCCAGCAGCCGCGGUAAUACGUAGGGUGCGAGCGUUAAUCGGAAUUACUGGGCGUAAAGCGUGCGCAGGCGGAUUGUUAAGCAAGACGUGAAAUCCCCGGGCUUAACCUGGGAAUGGCGUUUUGAACUGGCAGUCUAGAGUGCGUCAGAGGGGGGUGGAAUUCCACGUGUAGCAGUGAAAUGCGUAGAGAUGUGGAGGAACACCGAUGGCGAAGGCAGCCCCCUGGGAUGACACUGACGCUCAUGUACGAAAGCGUGGGUAGCAAACAGGA
RNAcentral lists this ribosomal RNA (720 nucleotides) under uncultured bacterium. RNAcentral describes it as "bacterial SSU rRNA". It matches the Rfam family "Bacterial small subunit ribosomal RNA", at positions 64 to 777 of the family's 1533-position model. The record is from RNAcentral.